This 267-nucleotide long non-coding RNA is filed under the name Mytilus galloprovincialis (Mediterranean mussel). The record is from RNAcentral. Lineage: Eukaryota; Metazoa; Mollusca; Bivalvia; Mytilida; Mytilidae.
UUCAAACAUUAAACGCAAAUUCUUGUCCAUCAACCAACUUUUCUUAAAUCGAUUAUUGUAAUAGUGUCACCAAUUAUAUUCAAUUGUUUGCUUUGAAUUACAAACAUGUUCGUUCUCAUUGAUUUUUUUAAUGAACUGAACUUAUUGAAUCUUAAACGUAGAAUUUCUUAUGCAUACUGUCCAUCAUAAAAAUAGUCACAUGUGUUGUCUGACAAUAAGAUAAUUUAUGCUUAAAUUAAAACUAAAAUGCUUGUCUUGAUUUAUUCA